RNAcentral lists this long non-coding RNA (2763 nucleotides) under Panax ginseng (ginseng). Its description in RNAcentral is "long non-coding RNA (PGIN_LNC015358)". The record is from RNAcentral. Lineage: Eukaryota; Viridiplantae; Streptophyta; Magnoliopsida; Apiales; Araliaceae.
AUUUUAUAUUUCAAAUCUGUAAAUGCCAUAAAUUACAAUAAAUUUGAAACUUAAAAUCAUACAAAUUUAUUAAAAUGAAGAAAUCUGAUCCAUUUAAUUAAAAAUAAAUUCAUAACCAACUACUUAAAUAGGUAGCUACAUGUCAUGGGUUCAUCAAACAAUUAACAAACCCAACAUCUAUCAAAGAACCCUAAACUAAUAAAAUUGACAAGUAAAGGAAAGCUAAAUCAUCCUGAAUUCUCCAUAGAGUCUUCUUGAGAGUCGUCAUCAUCUACGUUGUCAUUCUCAGCAUGCGUGGUUGAGUUAUUCGUUGUCAUUCUCAGCAUGGAGUCCUCUUGAGAGUCGUCUCCCACCUCUAGUUCUCACCAUAGCUGGAGAAAAAAAAACUUAUAAUUAAGUAUAGGAUAAAUAAAAGAAAUUAUUCAAGAUGAUGUUGUAAUGCAAUUUAAAAAUUAUUCACUACUCUACUAGUUCCAAAAUCGAUUAGCAUCUUACUUGUCUGCAAGAUGGUAGCAUUCAACAGUACAAAGAACAAUUUAUAUACCCAACAUAUACAAAAUAAUCACAUAAAAUUUACAAGCUAUCACAAAAUAAUCACAUAAAAUCAGAAAGCACUAUCAUGUUUCAGUGGCUACUUAUACAAUAGCCUCUCUUUUUUAAUAGAAAACAUAGCAUAGAUUAUUGCAUCCACUAAAAUAAACAAUCAUAUAUAUUUCAUAUUCAGAAAAAAAGAGAAAAUCAGAAAGCACUAUCAUGUUUAUGCACAAAAUAAUAGUGUAUCAAGUGCUAAGUAUUGUUCAAGGUGGGAUGAAACUUAGAAGUUUUUGGAAGAAAAAUAUAAGACAAUCAAGAAAUCUUAAUUUCAUGUUCAUGUUCAUGUUCAUCUAUGACAUUUAGGGGAAAUGAACUGAAAAGCGGCCAAACAUGGCAUGACUACAACUGUACGUAGAUUGUGGGUAGGUUUUGCAAAAAUAAAUCCAUGUGGUAACUAUAUACACAUAUUUAACUAAUUUGUAUGACUUCGCUACAUUAUACUUGUUACAUUAUACUUAUAAUUAUAUCAUUUUGUAAAAAUCAGUUACAUACAAUGACUUUGCUAUCUAUGCUCCCUUUAUUCCAUUAGUUUGGCAAUGAGUAUUUACAUGAUUUUAACCAAUAAUAGAAUGUGUUUUAUACGUAAUUAACCUAUAUAUAGGAUGAUGAAAUCAACUUGAAAAUGGAUUAAAGAUUAGUUAACUAAUUUACAAAAAGAUGAAAUCUUAAGAACUUAAGAUUUAUGAAAGCGUGAAGUUGGUAUGGAUUUUGAAUAUGAUGUAUGAUACAAGUUAAAGAUUUAUAAAUCCAUCUAAUUAUGUAUCAAGUCACAAAUGAUGUUGGUGUUUUUGGCUUUUUAUCAUGUCGUUUUGCCAUUUUCCUAUAAUGUAGUGCUAAGUACUUAUAUAAUUGAUAGUCCAGAGAAGGCUAAAAUGGUGCUAUAUAUUGUGGGCUUUGUGGCCCCUCUUUCCAUUCAUAUGGCCCUUCUACCCAGUUGGCCCUCUCUCACACACAAACUCAAGAAUAUCAAGGCAAUAAGACAUUAUUGUUUUCUAACUGCCUAUUACAAUAAGUCCUCUUGAUUGCCAAUGUAUUUCGUCUCAUAAAGGCAUAUCUCUGUUUCUUGCUGCAUUCCUGAUGCUUUUCACUUGUAUGUAUUUUUUUUAUGCUGUGCCUAUAGAAAAGUAACUUGUGUCCUCCUUUUAUGUGUCCUUUGAUUACCUUUUUUCUGUAUUUAAUUCCCUUCCCAUCUUUUCUAACCAAAAAAGGAAAAGAAAAGUUUCACUGUUCUAUAAGAAUUUUGAGUUGUAAUAUUUCUAAUCGACACCUUGUUUGCAGAUGAGUUUGAGAUUAAUUAAACAAAUUGGAUAUAAAUUUUGACAACAUAAAGCCAAGUAUAAGUUAAAGUCAGAGGGUAACAACUGGAAUUAAGAUAAAACAAAUGAAAAACAUAACCAGCCAAAACAUAAUUUAAAAUCAAAUUCCUUUCAUAUACCAAAUUUGUCUCUGUAGGCCCAAACAAAUAAAUUGAAAUACAAGAUUGGUAUAUAUAUUUAAUAUCAAUCUGGUAGGAUAAUAAUUAAAGUAAAUAUUAAUUGAAUUACAAACAAAAGAAUACAAAAUGAAUGUCAAAUUAAUGAAUUAAUGAGUAACCCUUUCAUUCCAACAAAAGAAGAAUUCUAAUUUAAGUCUUUUUCUAAUCAGUUUCAUAUUAGAUUUGUUUACAAACUACACUCCUUUCUCAAUCAAAGUAAUUAACUAACAAAGUUUCAUAUAUAUUCAUGCAUACAUAUACGUACGUAAUUAACAUACAUACAUAUAUAAAUCGAGGACCAUAUGUAUGUUAAAUCUCCACAAACACAUGAACAAUUAAAUUGUCAAUAACAGUUCGUAAAACAUCUCUAUAAAAACAGGAAUUGGGGCAAAAUUCGAAUAGAGAAAGCAUAAUCACAAUUCUAAAAUAAAAAUUGGGGAAAAAUUAGAACAGAGAAAUGAAAGAGGGAGAGAAUAAACACACAAGGAGAGGACUUGCCUUCGAAAUCACAACCUUAACUGGGCAACUUUGGUAGAAGAUGGGUCUAGGGUUUCAGUUUGUAGCCUAUGGAAAAGAGAGGGAGGUUUAUAUAAUCGUACUUGAAAUGAAAGAUAGAAAGAGAGAUCCAGCCAUUGUUUCAAAAUGAGCGGAAUAUGCAACUAAAUUAGCUUAGAUUUUUGUUUGUUUAAUUAUAU